UACACAUGCAGUCGAACGAUGAUGCCCAGCUUGCUGGGCGGAUUAGUGGCGAACGGGUGAGUAAUACGUGAGUAACCUGCCCUUGACUCUGGGAUAAGCCUGGGAAACUGGGUCUAAUACUGGAUACUACCGUCCACCGCAUGGUGGGUGGUGGAAAGGGUUUUACUGGUUUUGGAUGGGCUCACGGCCUAUCAGCUUGUUGGUGGGGUAAUGGCUCACCAAGGCGACGACGGGUAGCCGGCCUGAGAGGGUGACCGGCCACACUGGGACUGAGACACGGCCCAGACUCCUACGGGAGGCAGCAGUGGGGAAUAUUGCACAAUGGGCGGAAGCCUGAUGCAGCGACGCCGCGUGAGGGAUGACGGCCUUCGGGUUGUAAACCUCUUUCAGUAGGGAAGAAGCGAGAGUGACGGUACCUGCAGAAGAAGCGCCGGCUAACUACGUGCCAGCAGCCGCGGUAAUACGUAGGGCGCAAGCGUUGUCCGGAAUUAUUGGGCGUAAAGAGCUCGUAGGCGGUUUGUCGCGUCUGCUGUGAAAGCCCGGGGCUCAACCCCGGGUCUGCAGUGGGUACGGGCAGACUAGAGUGCAGUAGGGGAGACUGGAAUUCCUGGUGUAGCGGUGAAAUGCGCAGAUAUCAGGAGGAACACCGAUGGCGAAGGCAGGUCUCUGGGCUGUUACUGACGCUGAGGAGCGAAAGCAUGGGGAGCGAACAGGAUUAGAUACCCUGGUAGUCCAUGCCGUAAACGUUGGGCACUAGGUGUGGGGGACAUUCCACGUUUUCCGCGCCGUAGCUAACGCAUUAAGUGCCCCGCCUGGGGAGUACGGCCGCAAGGCUAAAACUCAAAGGAAUUGACGGGGGCCCGCACAAGCGGCGGAGCAUGCGGAUUAAUUCGAUGCAACGCGAAGAACCUUACCAAGGCUUGACAUUCACCGGACCGCCCCAGAGAUGGGGUUUCCCUUCGGGGCUGGUGGACAGGUGGUGCAUGGGUUGUCGUCAGCUCGUGUCGUGAGAUGUUGGGUUAAGUCCCGCAACGAGCGCAACCCUCGUUCUAUGUUGCCAGCACGUGAUGGUGGGGACUCAUAGGAGACUGCCGGGGUCAACUCGGAGGAAGGUGGGGAUGACGUCAAAUCAUCAUGCCCCUUAUGUCUUGGGCUUCACGCAUGCUACAAUGGCCGGUACAAAGGGUUGCGAUACUGUGAGGUGGAGCUAAUCCCAAAAAGCCGGUCUCAGUUCGGAUUGAGGUCUGCAACUCGACCUCAUGAAGUCGGAGUCGCUAGUAAUCGCAGAUCAGCAACGCUGCGGUGAAUACGUUCCCGGGCCUUGUACACACCGCCCGUCAAGUCACGAAAGUUGGUAACACCCGAAGCCGGUGGCCUAACCCCUUGUGGGAGGGAGCCGUCGAAUGG
This 1407-nucleotide ribosomal RNA is filed under the name Kocuria rosea subsp. polaris. RNAcentral describes it as "bacterial SSU rRNA". It matches the Rfam family "Bacterial small subunit ribosomal RNA". Lineage: Bacteria; Bacillati; Actinomycetota; Actinomycetes; Micrococcales; Micrococcaceae. The record is from RNAcentral.